RNAcentral lists this long non-coding RNA (2355 nucleotides) under Sinocyclocheilus grahami. RNAcentral describes it as "lncRNA (ENSSGRG00000042266.1)". The record is from RNAcentral. Lineage: Eukaryota; Metazoa; Chordata; Actinopteri; Cypriniformes; Cyprinidae.
UUGAGUGGUUUGUUUUAGGUUCAUCUGAUGCCACACUCCCUUGUCGCACCAGACUUACAGCUCCAAAAGAAUCUAUUGCUGAUAAAAAUUGGGAUCAGGACAGUGGAUUGGAGAAUGUGGGAGAAACUCAUGAAGGACAAAAACUUUUGAAGGAAAGUCCACAGUCUGCUAUAACAGAAAAAAACAACGAGGACUCAAGAAAUACAAAUGAAGGAGAACUAGACAAAAAUGAGAAAAACAGGGAAAAUGCCGAUGAAGCAGAAGAAAACGGUAACAGCAAACCUGAUGAAACGGACAGAGAGAGACAUAAAUUAUUACAAAUUCAAGAAGAAAUGGAGAAAGAGAAAAGUCAGAUAGAGUCACCUGAGGAGCAGAUUGAGACACAAGAUGCAGAUAAAAAUGAGGAAGACCAGACACCUGGAGAGAAAAAAGAGGAGGAAGAGGAAGAAAAAGCGAUAGACAGACUGAACACAGAUUCACCAGCUAACCUGGAGAAGGCACCCAUAAACAUCAGUGUCCCAUCUUCAAAUCAGACUGGCCUAAGUAAGUGCACAGACCAAGAUAUAAACAUGGAAGAAGAAAGCACAUUUCCUGGAGUGGAGCAGAAGGAGAAAGAAAAGGUUUUAACAAAUGAGGAACUGAAAGGUGGUCAGGAACAAAUGCCAGAAGAAAACAAACAUGACCCAGAGCUAUCUGAGCCAAAAAAUAGCAUUAACUUGGAUAAACAGGGCAAACAAACUGAUCCAGACAGUACAAUACAGUACAACAGUGUCUCACAGCAGCAGUGCCACAAUGAUGGGUUGCCUCAAAAGGAAGAUGAUGAUGCUGAACAGACAGACAAGAGCCGUGAGACAGAACAAGGCAUGAAGCAGAAAAAUGAUGUUCCAGAAACUACAGAGACAAAAGAUAACAAACAUUUAAAAGAUUGUGAUGAAAAGAACAGUGAUCCAGACAACACAAACAAUGACAUGUCUGUGCCAGAGGACAAGAAAGCAGAAACAGAGACCGACAGCUUCUCAAAACAUGCAAUGAAAGAAACUCAUAGUUCAGAAAUCAGGGAACAGGAUUUGAACAAACAGUGCAAUACAGAAUGUAAUGAUACUGUUUAUAGUGAGGGAGGCGAAAUGGGCUCAGUUUUAUCAGCUGUGAAAGAGGAACAGAAAAACAUUUGUCAACUAGAGCCACGUGAAGGUAGUAGUGUCAGUUGUGCGACAGAAAACACUCGAGGGUCAUCAAAAAUAAUAGAAGAUGAAGGAAAUAAUGACGACACCCCACAGCAGGUUAAAAAGGAUGGUGAGCGUGUGCUUGGAGAAGGUGUGGAGGAGAAGUAAUAGGCAAAUACUAGCAUAAAAACUGGGGUUGUCAAUUUAUUAAUGUAGUACAAUUAAUUUUGUACAGUUUAUUUUAUAUAAUGAAUUGUACCAAGGUUUUUUUUUUUUUUGCAUGUGUGUAAACCAGUAGCGGGCCGUGCAUUUUACACCUAGGCCUUCAGUGGCGUCCUACAUGAGUUAAUCCAUCUCUUCAUACCAUCAUAAUGAUGCCACGGCUAUAGAAACCAUAAAUAUCACACAGUAAUGCAGUAUAACAGUACACUACAUAAUCUUAUGUAGCGAGAAUGAAUGCCAUUACUAAAGAAAGAAACCCAAUUAACAAUUGCGCAACACAUCAUCUGUAGCUGAAGCAUUAACCUAACAAAAUGACACAAAUACAGUCCAUCCCAUGUUCUUACAGACAUUUAUUCACCUUUAGCAUUGGUAUAAAACAAAUAAGGUGAUUACAUGUGUUUUAAAGUUGAUCUAACAAUUUAAUGUUCUCUUACUGCUUUAUUUUGUCUUCACGAGUCUCCCCGCCGGUCUGCCAGCGCACUGCGGGAGAAAAAUACUGGUUAGCACAGCUUUACUAGGAAAGUGAGCAAGUAACUAUUAGACAAACCAUUUGAUCAAACAGAUCAAAGUAGCAGUUACCACUGUGCUUUUUUUUCAGUUGUGCUGCACAACUGAGUGGAUGGCAGCUUACAGUUCUGUUGAAUUUGUUCCUCUUAGCCCAGCAAGCAAUUUUGCGUUUAAAAGACGUCUAUUAGCCGUCUAAACACAGCCCAGAUUCUAGGCUAAAACAAGGCUAAAUUUGGGCUGUCAGUGAAAAUUUAAUAGACGUCUAAUCAUAGCCCAAGAAUAGACUAGUCAUCAAUUAGACAGCUAAUACAUGCCUACAUAUAUACAUCUAAUAGACAACAAAAUGGCAAUCCAUCCAAACAAAUUAAAUAUACAGCUUUUAAGAAAAAUAACAUUUUUAACAACUUGGAACUUAAGACAAUACAAAAUGAUAAAAAUACAAAAGAAUUAAUGACUAAAUAAA